GACGAACGCUGGCGGCGUGCUUAACACAUGCAAGUCGAACGGAAAGGCCCUGCUUUUGUGGGGUGCUCGAGUGGCGAACGGGUGAGUAACACGUGAGUAACCUGCCCUUGACUUUGGGAUAACUUCAGGAAACUGGGGCUAAUACCGGAUAGGAGCUCCUGCUGCAUGGUGGGGGUUGGAAAGUUUCGGCGGUUGGGGAUGGACUCGCGGCUUAUCAGCUUGUUGGUGGGGUAGUGGCUUACCAAGGCUUUGACGGGUAGCCGGCCUGAGAGGGUGACCGGCCACAUUGGGACUGAGAUACGGCCCAGACUCGUACGGGAGGCAGCAGUGGGGAAUAUUGCACAAUGGGCGGAAGCCUGAUGCAGCAACGCCGCGUGCGGGAUGACGGCCUUCGGGUAGUAAACCGCUUUCGCCUGUGACGAAGCGUGAGUGACGGUAAUGGGUAAAGAAGCACCGGCUAACUACGUG
RNAcentral lists this ribosomal RNA (468 nucleotides) under uncultured bacterium. Its description in RNAcentral is "partial 16S ribosomal RNA". It matches the Rfam family "Bacterial small subunit ribosomal RNA", at positions 28 to 507 of the family's 1533-position model. The record is from RNAcentral.